UACCAGCACCCCGAGUGGUCGGGACGUUUAUUGGGCGUAAAGAGCUCGUAGGCGGUCAGUCGCGUCUGCUGUGAAAACUCGGGGCUUAACUCUGGGCCUGCAGUGGGUACGGGCUGACUAGAGUGCGGUAGGGGAGACUGGAAUUCCUGGUGUAGCGGUGAAAUGCGCAGAUAUCAGGAGGAACACCGGUGGCGAAGGCGGGUCUCUGGGCCGUAACUGACGCUGAGGAGCGAAAGCGUGGGGAGCGAACAGG
This 253-nucleotide ribosomal RNA is filed under the name uncultured bacterium. Its description in RNAcentral is "partial 16S ribosomal RNA". The stretch from base 27 to 253 matches the Rfam family "Bacterial small subunit ribosomal RNA", at positions 550 to 776 of the family's 1533-position model. The record is from RNAcentral.